Molecule: non-coding RNA, 7790 nt
Organism: Oryctolagus cuniculus (rabbit)
Lineage: Eukaryota; Metazoa; Chordata; Mammalia; Lagomorpha; Leporidae
Source: RefSeq, a predicted model, not a curated record
UUAUACCUUUUUCCCCUAAUUUCUCCAUUACUUCCUUUUUGUGUGAAAUUUUAUUCUCUAGUGUGCUGUUUUAAUUCCUUGUUUCUUUUUCAUUUUCUCUUUUAGUUUUUUUUCUCUUAGCUGUUUCCCUGGAUUUUACAAUUUAUAAUAACAUAGUCUGAAUGAAUACCAACUUAACUGAUGUAACAUAUAAAAAUUCUGACCUUGUAGAGCUCCAGAUCUUUAGUUCUUAUAUUUUCACCUUUAUGCAUCAUGAACCCGUUAUCACAGAGAUGUAAUUGUUGUUUUAUGAGUUUCCUUUUAAAUAACAUGAGGAAGAAGGACUUAUAAACUGAUAAUUGCAAUAUUGCUGGCUUUUAUAUUUACAUUCAUAUACUUGCCAUUCUUUUUUAUGCGUAUGGCUUUAUGUUAUCUAAUUGCUAUUCAUUUCAUCCUGAUAAAGUUCCUUUAGCAUUUCUUGUAGGAUAUUUGUACUACUUAUGGACCUGGUCAGCUUUUGUUUAUCCAGGCAUAUCUUAACUUCUGUUUUAUUCCUUCAGAAUAGUUUUAUUCAAUAUAGAAUUCAUGGUGGACCUUUUCCCUCCAAGCACUUUACAUGCAAGCAUGUUAUCCCACUGCUUACUGGCCUCCAUAGUUUCUGAUCAGAAACCUGUUGUCAGUCUUUAAUGAGUAUCCCUUUUAUGUGACAAGUCACUUCUCUCUUGCUCCUUUCAAGAUUCUGUCUUGGGAAGUAUUUCUUAGUGUGGAUCUUUUUGUGUUUUAUUUUGGUUAGUUUUUAUUGAGCUUUUUGCAUAUGUAUAUUAAUUUCUUUUAUCAGAAUUGUCAGCCAUUUCUUCAUAUAUUCUCUCUUCCUGCUCCUUCUCUCUUUUUGAGCUAACACUUUUGUUAUGUUGGUGUACUUAGUGUUUUGUGGGUCUCAAGUUCUGUUUAUUUCUCUUCACUCCUUUUCCUGUCUGCUUCCUUAGGAGAGAUAACCUCAGUUAAAUCUGUCUCUAAAUUCACUGAUUCUUCUUUCUUCAAAUCUGCUGUCAAAUCUGUCAGUGAAUUUUCCUCUAGAAUUUACAUGUGGCUCAUUUUUUUUAAUUUCUCUCUUUAUUGAUUGUUUAUUUUGCAAAUUGCUAUUCCCGCUUCCUAGUUUUUAGUUCUUUGUGGUUUUCUUUAAUUCUUUGAAUAUAUUUAAUAUUAUUUAUUUAAUAUCUUUGUAAAGAUUGAUAUCUGGAUUUUUUCCUUUAUAUAGGCUGUAUUAUCCUAUUUCUUUGCAUGUCUUCAAAAAUUAUAUUGAGAACUGGAUUUGGAUAUUACAGUGUGACAACUCUGGAAAUUAUAUUCUCCAUUUCCAUGAGGUUUGCUAUUGCUGUUUGUAGUGUGAUAUUUUAGUGAGCUUCCUGAACUAUAUUUUGAAAUCUGCAUUUUCUAUAUUGCCACUGACAUCUUUAACUUUUAGUGGUCCUUUAACUUAGUGGUUAAUUAGUGUGAUGAUAGAAUUUCUUGAAAUGCCUGAAGACAGAAAAAAAGAGAGUGGAGGGGAGGGAAGGAAAGAAGAAAGGAAGAAAAGAAAGAAAAAAAGCAAAUACAGAAAGGUAGAGGGAAAAAUCUGAGGGAAAAAAUACCUUCCCCAUUUGCAGAUUGGCUCUGUGUGCAGGUGUGUUUUUCAUACGCAGCCAAGAUGUUUGUAACUAUGUCUUAACUUUGACUUCUUGCUUGCAUGGAUCCUUAAUGUCAGCCAGAGUUGAGUGCUUCAGAUAUUCUUAAGUCUUCAUGAGUUUUCUAGGUCAUUCCUUUGGCCUUUUGAUGCCUUUGUAUAUAAAGGAACUUUUAUAAGCUUUUGUUUACCUCAUAUCUCCUUUCCCAGUUUGUUCCUUUUAUUGUAUUUCAUUCUGUGUAUCUCGUCCUGACUGUUGUCCAUUGCUCUAGGCUGCUGUGACCCAUACUUGCUCUUAAAGAUGUGUUGAGUAAAUGCUGUGUAAGAAUUGUCCCAGCUCUGGGAUGGCUCAAGUUUUCUGAAAAAAAAAAAAAAGUCAGACUCAUGCUACAGUUCUUCAGGGAGUUACAAGAUAGGUCUAAACGGAACAGCUCUUUGAGAAUGAAGCACAUGUUGAUUCCCCCUGGAAGUAGCAACCUGCACCAGUGUGGGGAGCAACUCGGACUAGACUGUUACUGGAAUUAAGACUUAUUCUAUGCAUCUGCUCUCCCACAAUAUGGCGCUGGGAGAGGAGGAAACAGCUUCUACACAGCUGCCUCUUGCCAACUUGACAAGCUGCAGGAGCUGCUCCUGAUUGGAGGAGAGCAGCGUACUCGGCGUGUGGGUAGCAGAGUUGGGAUUGGUGGAAGAGGACUAUAAAGGAGGAGAGAGACAACAUGCACCAGGAACAUCUAAGAGGAACACCUGAGCAGCCCCCGAGAGAGCCGGCCGGCCGGCGGUGUGCCGCUCCCCUGCGGAAGUGGGGAAAGUGGCAGGGGGAACCGCCCUUCCACGGAGGUGGAAGGGACGGUAGCCAACCCAGGAAGAACCAGCAGCAAACCCGGGGAGGGCCGAGCAGACAAAAGAACAACGCAGUGUCCUGUGUCGUUCCUCCACGAAGAGGGGGAGCGACAUAAUGGUGCCGUGACUUGGAUAGGAAACCUAGGAGGGAAAAAGUGGGAAAAUACCGGAGAGAGAGACUAGCAAAGAGCCUAGGGAAAAGCCAGACGGAAAAGGUGCCGGAAGAAGCUAUCGAAAGCCUAGGCAUAGACUCGGAUAUGGACUGUGGGAAAGAAGUUAGGAUUGAAAGCUAGGAUUGAAAGUGAAAGUGAAAGCAAGAAGAAAUUUAGAGUCGGAUACGGACUAUGGCGGGGAAGCUAGGAGAUUGAAAGCGAAAGUGAAACCUAGAAGAAACUUAGACUCGGAUGCGGACUGUGGGGAGAAGCCAGGAGAAAUGAGACGGGAAUAUUGUUGGAAGAAAAGUUAGGAAACAUACCGGGUAGAGAAAAAUGUUAGGGAGGAUGAAGCCACGGGGGCAGGCUGAGGCGGAGACGUAAGCUAGCUUGGGAUUCGUCAAUUCAGCCCGGGGAGCAAAAGGCGAAAAGCUAAAACGAGAGGCAGAGACACGUAAGCCAGGUUGGAAUCCGUCAGAUUAGCCCGGGGAGCAAAAGACGGGAAGCCAAACCGAAGGGCGCAGACGUGAGCUAGGUUGAAUUUGCCAGGUUAGCCCAGGGAACUUAGACUGAAUACCGGUGGCGGAAACGUGAGCUAGGCUGUGUGAUUCGCGGAAGCCGCCGUGUGCAGAGAGCGCGCGGGGCGCAAGUAGAUAGGGAACGCGGGGCUAGCGCAGAGGCCGUGGUGUGGGCGUGAAGGGCGCAGAGACCGCAGAGCGCACGUGAAGCCGGGAAGCCGCGCAGAGCCGGGAAGCAGCUGCGGGGCGAGGCGCUGAGAAGCAGCCUCGGGGCGGGCGCCGGGAAGCCGCAGGGAUAAGAGAAACAGAAGUUUAGAAGUAAAAUGAGAGAAAUAGGAAUGCUGGCAGAUAGAAGUAAAAUAGGAGAAACAGGAAUGCCCGGAGAUAGAGAAACAGAGAAAAAUAAGGCCUCCCCACAACAUGGCAAUGAGAGGGCUUGGAUUCGGUCUGCCUGAUUAGUGAGGCGAUAAGCACCAGCAGGCAGUUCGACCAGAGUAUGAGCUGCAGGUCACCGAAGAUAGGCACGAAUCAACAUCAAUAAGUCUCCCCACAAUACGGCAACGAGAAGGCUCGGAUUCGGUUUGCCUGAUUGGUAGGGCUUGUAAGCACCUGUAGGCAGUUCUAGCAGAGUAGAGCAUGCGCUGCAGGGCACCGAACACAGGCAGGCAUCAGCGCCUAAAAACCUUCUCACAACAUGGCGAAGAGAGGACCCGGAUUCGGUUUCCCUGACUGGUAGGGCUUGUAAGCACCUGUGGACAACUCUAGCAAGCAGAUCAGAGUGUGUGCCACGGGCCACCGAAGACAGGCGCGUAUCAACGCCAAAAAUAAAAAGAAAGGGGGAUCUGUGGGGAGCAACUCGGACUAGACUGUUACUGGAAUUAAGACUUACUCUAUGCAUCUGCUCUCCUACAAUAUGGCGCUGGGAGAGGAGGAAACAGCUUCUACCCAGCUGCCUCUCGCCAACUUGACAAGCUGCAGGAGCUGCUCCUGAUUGGAGGAGAGCAGCGUACUCGGCGUGUGGGUAGCAGAGUUGGGAUUGGUGGAAGAGGACUAUAAAGGAGGAGAGAGACAACAUGCACCAGGAACAUCUAAGAGGAACACCUGUGCAGCCCCCGAGAGAGCCGGCCGGCCGGCGGUGUGCCGCUCCCCUGUGGAAGUGGGGAAAGUUGCAGGGGGAACCGCCCUUCCACGGAGGUGGAAGGGAUGGUAGCCAACCCGGGAAGAACCAGCAGCAAACCCGGGGAGGGCCGAGCAGACAAAAGAACAACGCAGGGUCCAGUGUCAUUCCUCCACGAAGAGUGGGAGCGACACACCAGAAGUGUGAACUGCUAUCCUCAUGUAGGUGGGUAGUUUAAAACAGCACACACAGUGUUUUCUGAAUGCAAUGUAGCAGGUGUUUCCUUCACUAGACUCCCUUGCAUUGCUGGAAGUUCUUGACUGAAUUUUAGACUUUCCCCCAUUUUGAAGUGAGUAUGUGAUUCUUGCCCUAUUCAAAUCACAGGGUUACAGUGAGACUUUAUUGAGAGAAAGUGAUUUUUAGAAUUACAUUUUCAUGUUGUAUAUACUGCCUAUGUAUCCUCCCAUUGAUUUCUCUUAUUACUCUUGUACCUUUUUUGUGUAUUUAUGUGUAUGUGUGUUGACAUCCAGUAGUUGUGUUGAUUUAUUGUGGGCAGGGCUUAUCUUGUAUCUUCUUGUUUCCUGUGUCUAAGCUAUUGCAAGUUCUAGUUUGCUGAAAUUAUUUUUUAAUAAUAAGAAUGCAUGGAUUUCAAAAAUUUUUGCCUCAAGGUAAACUUAUGUUUCAAUUCCAUCAUCAAUGAACUCUUUUUAUUAAUACAAAGAGAACAGAUUUCUCCUAUUUCAUCAGUACAGUUCUAAGAUAACUGUACUUCUCUCCCUCCCUCUCCUUCCCAGUAUCUCUCCUUCCCUCCCAUCUUUUCAUUAAUUUUUGUGAAAAUGUGAUUUCAACCAUAUGAAUAAUAACACUCUUGAUUCACCACUAACCAUAAUAUUCAGCAAUUAAAAAGUAGGAAGACAGGGCUAGCAUUGUGGCAUCAUUGGUUGAGUUGACACCUGCAACGCUGGGAUCCCAUAUGCUCCACUUCUGAUCCAAUUCUCUGCUAAUGCGCCUGGGAAAGCAGUAAAGGGUGGCCCAAGUCCCUUGGCUUCUUCACCCAUAUGGGAGACAAUGAUGAAGUUCCUGGUUCCUGGUUGCAGUCUGGACCAGCCCCCAGCCAUUGCAGCCAUUUGGGGAAUAAACCAGUGGAUGGAAUAGAUGGAAGAUUUCACCUGUUCCUCCCCCAACCCCUGUAAUUCUUCUUUUUAAAUAGAUAUUUAUAAAUAAUAAAUGGAAAAUAAGAAGUAGGAAGACCACAGUUCCAUAGGAGUGUAAACAAGAGCUAAAAGCAACAAUAAUGUCACAAGAUAUCUGCUUUGUUCUUGUAUGUAUAUUUUUUGUAUUCUAUAUUAACUGCCAUAUCAAAGUAAAUAUGAUAUUUGUCUUUUUGAGACUGCUUAUUUCAUUUAGCAUAAUGGUAUCCAGUUGCAUCUAUUUUGUUGCAAAAGACAGGAUUUCAUUCUUUUUUAUGGCCAAGUGUGUAUAUAUACCAUAUUGUGUAUAUACCAUGUUUUCUUUAUCCAGGCAUCAGUUGAUGGACAUCUGCGUUGAUUCUAUAUGUUAGCUAUUGUGAAUUCAGCUGCAAUAAAGAGAAAGAAGAAUCGGGGUAUAGAGUAUCCAUCCUUCCCAGGAGACGGGCCACUGCCGUGCAGAGGAGCGGGAAUCAGGACUGGAGGAGCAGCUGUCUCCCUCUUGGAAUCAUGGCGCAGGUGUGGAGAAGGAUUUCAGGAUACUUCUGGAACUCCAUCAUUGUUGACAGCUGAAAAGAAGACCAUUACAGAAAAGUAUCCUGAAUUAUCCCCUAGACCCAAGGAAGAUGAAUUGCAUUUCCUUGACUGGGAGCUUGACACUGACAGGGGAGGUGCUGGUGAAUGUUAACGAAUUUGAAGAUGGUGAGGGUGCAGUGGAUAUCUCAGACUGUGCUUCAUGUGCAAGUAGCCAGUCUUUGACGAGAGAUGACAGGCUCUCUGAGUUUCCAAAGGUAAGAAUGGAUCAUUUAAGAAACUUGUAUCCUUUUAUAACCUAUGUUAACCCAUGUUAUUCAAGGCCUUUUGGUGUUUCUCCCACCAUUCCUUCUCAGGGAUCAUCUUUUUCACUAUUAGAGCUUUCUUUUGAGCUCCACACUUUGGUCCUUAAAUCACAUGCUGCUGCUAUGCUUCUCAACAUAAGGAAAUAAUGAGCUCUCUCCCCCCUAACUCUCCACUGCGAACUAGGCAAUGAACUUUGCUGUCCCUCCAGUGCCCUAGUACAGAUAUGUCAGUGUUUGGUUAGUUUAGUAUGCAGCAUUUAGCUCAUUGUGAAUAAGGAAUAUUGAUAACCAAGAACCAUGUUAAUUAUCAUUAUUUUCUUUAACAACUAUUUGUGUUUCUUAGACAAUUACUUGGAUUUUUAAAAAAUGUAUUUGUUUGAAAGGCAGAGAGACACAAAGAUUGCCCAUCCACUGGUUCAUUCCCCAAAUGCUCACAACAGCCAAAGGCUGGGUCAGGCUGAAGCCAGGAGCCUGGAACUCCAUCUGAGUCUUCACUUGUGAGCCAGGGACCCAGGUACUUGAGGCUUCUCCUACUGCCUCUCUGGGUUCACAUGAGCAGUAAACUUGAAUCAGAAUUGGAUCCAGGACUCAAACUCAAGCACUCUAAAAUGGAAUGUAUGCGUCCCCAAGUGGCAUCUUAAACAAUCCAUGAAAUACCUGCUCCCCAUAUUAACUCUUUGCUUAGGUAAUUUUACUGAACAUUAAUGGAAUCCUAAUAUGUCAUCAUUGUCUAACUCUCUCAUGAUCAUUUCUAUACUUCGCAGACUUUCUGUCAAUUUUAUUUUCUUGGUGAAUGUUUCCCUACAACCUCCUGGUUACUCCAAUUUGGAUUCAAGAUCCUAUUCUCUUUGUGAUGUUGUCACUCUGGGGGUCUCUGUUGCCCAUCAUUCUAGGAAUUGGAAUCUUGUUUCCUACAUGGUGCUUCUUUAUCCUGCAUUUCUUGUUUUCCUCUUUCUUGGUUUUCACCCUUGUUUUGGUUGAAUGCAUCUUCUGUUAGCUACUUUUUGUUUGUUUUUGUUUUUAUUUUGUGACAGGCAGAGUGGACAGUGAGAGAGAGACAGAGAGAAAGGUCUUCCCUUUGCCAUUGGUUCACCCUCCAAUGGCCGCCAUGGCCAGUGCACUGAGGCCAGCGCACCGCGCUGAUCUGAUGGCAGGAGCCAGGUACUUAUCCUGGUCUCCCAUGGGGUGCAGAGCCCAAGGACUUGGGCCAUCCUCCACUGCACUCCCUGGCCACAGCAGAGAGCUGGCCUGGAAGAGGGGCAACUGGGACAGAAUCCGGCGCCCUGACCAGGACUAGAACCCGGUGUGCCAGCGCCGCAAGGCAGAGGAUUAGCCUAGUGAGCUGCGGCGCCGGCCUCUGUUAGCUUCUGAGAAACUAUGUAUAGAAUUUUUUUUGAUGCUUGGCAUAUCUAAAUAUCCUUUGAUCUUACUGUACUUUGACAUAUUAUUGAAAAUUUGUAUAAAAUUUUAGUUUCAAAAUAACUUUUUCUCAAGU